GCCAUGGCUGAGUGGCAGAGCAUCUGCUUGGCAUGCGGAAGGCCCCGGGUUCAAUUCCCAGGACCAAGUGACA
Molecule: transfer RNA, 73 nt
Filed under: Sphaerodactylus townsendi
Lineage: Eukaryota; Metazoa; Chordata; Lepidosauria; Squamata; Sphaerodactylidae
Description: tRNA-Ala
Rfam family: tRNA (bases 5-61)
About the family: Transfer RNA (tRNA) molecules are approximately 80 nucleotides in length. Their secondary structure includes four short double-helical elements and three loops (D, anti-codon, and T loops).
Source: RNAcentral